AGCGAACGCUGGCGGCAGGCCUAACACAUGCAAGUCGAACGAACCUUUCGGGGUUAGUGGCGGACGGGUGAGGAACACGUGGGAACGUGCCUUUAGGUUCGGAAUAACUCAGGGAAACUUGUGCUAAUACCGAAUGUGCCCUUCGGGGGAAAGAUUAAUCGCCUUUAGAGCGGCCCGCGUCUGAUUAGCUAGUUGGUUGAGGUAAUGGCUCACCAAGGCGACGAUCAGUAGCUGGUCUGAGAGGAUGAUCAGCCACAUUGGGACUGAGACACGGCCCAAACUCCUACGGGAGGCAGCAGUGGGGAAUCUUGCGCAAUGGGCGAAAGCCUGACGCAGCCAUGCCGCGUGAAUGAUGAAGGUCUUAGGAUUGUAAAAUUCUUUCACCGGGGACGAUAAUGACGGUACCCGGAGAAGAAGCCCCGGCUAACUUCGUG
RNAcentral lists this ribosomal RNA (434 nucleotides) under uncultured bacterium. RNAcentral's name for it is "partial 16S ribosomal RNA". It matches the Rfam family "Bacterial small subunit ribosomal RNA", at positions 29 to 507 of the family's 1533-position model. The record is from RNAcentral.